RNAcentral lists this non-coding RNA (42 nucleotides) under Trypanosoma brucei brucei. Lineage: Eukaryota; Euglenozoa; Kinetoplastea; Trypanosomatida; Trypanosomatidae. The record is from RNAcentral.
AACGGAGAUGAGCAAUUUAGAUUCAGAGUUAUAUGUGAUUUU